This 72-nucleotide transfer RNA is filed under the name Candidatus Berkelbacteria bacterium. Its description in RNAcentral is "tRNA-Met". It matches the Rfam family "tRNA". From Rfam's summary of the family: Transfer RNA (tRNA) molecules are approximately 80 nucleotides in length. The record is from RNAcentral. Lineage: Bacteria; Candidatus Berkelbacteria.
GCCUGAGUAGCUCAGUGGUAGAGCGAGGGACUCAUAAGCCCUAGGUCGUAGGUUCGAUCCCUACCUCAGGCA